ACACCUCCAUCAAAUCUAUCUACAAAUAUAGAUCCAACAGAGGGAUACGAGGAACUUGAUGGCGUCUUCACCAAUUCUUGCCGGGACCAAUGAGGAAUCAGAUCCCCCAAAUGGAUUCGAAGAAACUACAGCUAGCAAUGCAACAGAGCAAAUUGAAAAAGGGGUGCCAAAGCUUGGCAUGCGGUUUUUAUCUGAAGAAGAAGCUUAUUCCUUCUAUAACAAGUAUGCUUAUUCCAUGGGUUUUAGCAUCCGAAGAGGCAAUCAACAUAAAGUAAAAAAUUCUAGUACAAUACAACAACGGACGUUCACAUGUUCUCGUCAAGGAGUUCGUGCGGAAGAUAAAAGAGAGGAGAAAUUCAGUUAUAGUAGGCCUGAGACACGAUGUGGUUGUGAUGCACGUAUGAAGAUAAGUCUUAAUAAUGGGAUUUAUUAUGUAUACGAAUUUAAGGAAGCCCACAACCAUAGUCUUG
Triticum dicoccoides is the source of this 470-nucleotide long non-coding RNA. RefSeq lists it as uncharacterized. The record is from RefSeq and is a predicted model, not a curated record. The transcript has 3 exons. NCBI's taxonomy places the organism in Eukaryota, Viridiplantae, Streptophyta, Magnoliopsida, Poales, Poaceae.